Long non-coding RNA from Pecten maximus, 508 nucleotides. RefSeq lists it as uncharacterized. NCBI's taxonomy places the organism in Eukaryota, Metazoa, Mollusca, Bivalvia, Pectinida, Pectinidae. The record is from RefSeq and is a predicted model, not a curated record. The transcript is spliced from 3 exons.
GAUGACCAAAUGUAGUGUUGCUAUCAGUGUUCGUAAUUGAUAUCAAUUUCAGGAUGACGUGGAACCUGUCCUUCAGCCAGAGGUAACCGUCCAUCAGCAAGUUUGGUUUGGUUUAUUUUGUUUAACGUCCUAUUAACAGCUAAGGUCCAGAGGUAACCAUCCAUCAGCCAGAGGUAACCGUCCAUCAGCUAGUGAUAUCUGCCCAUCAGGGCAUGGCAACAAGAAGAACAAGGUCGAUCGUUGGCCAUGGGUAAACUUUUUCCAGAGAGCGAGGUCAUCAGGAUGGGUGCUACAGGAGACAAAACAUACACUGAUGCCAGAGGAUGUAUGUGACAUCCUGUCACCUCCAGAUAUUCACAUGACGGGAUGCCGGAUAUUUUACCGGUUUAAGGAUUUCUGAUCUGACUGGUGGAGUCCAAUCGUCUACAGAGGACCUAUAUCCGCGACAAAGACUGAAUUGUUUAUCUUUCAUUUGUUUGAAAUUAAUGUUCAAAAAGAUUUCACCAUG